This is a long non-coding RNA of Tachysurus fulvidraco (yellow catfish), 564 nucleotides long. RefSeq lists it as uncharacterized. NCBI's taxonomy places the organism in Eukaryota, Metazoa, Chordata, Actinopteri, Siluriformes, Bagridae. The record is from RefSeq and is a predicted model, not a curated record. The transcript has 2 exons.
GCCCGCACAUUUGCAAGCAACCUUUAGUAGAUUUUGAUAUUCUGGGAACUACCAGAAGUCCUGAGUUUUGUGAUUUCAGAGAGUGUGAAGCAUUGUAGCAUGUUAGAAGACUAGUUAGAUACAUGGGAGCUAAACCAUUUAGAGCUUUGUACAUAAGUAGCAGCAGUCUGGAGGCUAUAUAGGAUGAUGAGGUGCCACAAAUUUUGACCCAGCCAACGGCAGUAUUAUUAUUGAGGGAACAGAAGUCCUGCAAGACCUGGGUGUAUCCAGAGCCUGUGCCCUGCUAGGGCUGGUAUAUGCUCUCAACCUCAGCUACCCAAAGGAACUAAAAAAUACUUUUGAGGUGUUUCAGAAAAUAAUUCUUGAGCUGGAUGGUCUGAAAGCUAGGCCGAAGGUAAUGUCUUUAAACAAUAAACUGUUGUAUUCCUGAAAUGUUACAUGUAAAAGUUUUGUUGUGCAUACACAUACAGAAGCUGUAAUUUUGACAAUUUUUUACAUGAAGGUUACAGUGUUGUAUUUGUUUGAGACUUUAUGGCGGCUGUAGUUUAUGUGAUGAAGGUAAAA